Molecule: RNA transcript, 2127 nt
Organism: Harpia harpyja (harpy eagle)
Lineage: Eukaryota; Metazoa; Chordata; Aves; Accipitriformes; Accipitridae
Gene: RBBP7
Gene name: RB binding protein 7, chromatin remodeling factor
Exons: 15
Source: RefSeq, a predicted model, not a curated record
CCUCACCGGCGGGGCCCUCACCGGCCGCCCUCGAUCCCCCUGCCGACCUCCUCCUGCUCCUCCUCUCCCUCUCCUUCCUCUCCCCCUUUUCCCCCUCCGGCGCCUUUAGCCGUUGCUUCCUGCGCCGCGCCUCGCUUGUGGGCGCGCAGGCGCACACCCAAAAUGGCGAGCAAGGAAGUGCUGGAGGACACGGUGGAGGAGCGCGUCAUUAGCGAGGAGUACAAGAUCUGGAAGAAAAACACCCCCUUCUUGUACGACCUGGUGAUGACACACGCUCUGGAGUGGCCCAGCCUCACCGUGCAGUGGUUGCCUGAUGUGACCAGGCCGGAAGGAAAGGAUUAUGCUCUACACUGGCUGGUUUUGGGAACGCACACGUCUGAUGAACAGAACCACCUGGUUGUUGCAAGAGUCCAGAUUCCCAAUGAUGAUCAGUUUGAUGCUUCUCAAUAUGACAGUGAGAAAGGAGAGUUUGGUGGCUUUGGAUCUGUGACUGGCAAAAUUGAAACGGAGAUUAAAAUUAACCAUGAAGGUGAAGUAAACCGUGCUCGUUACAUGCCGCAGAAUCCCUGCAUCAUUGCUACAAAAACACCGUCGGCUGAUGUGUUGGUAUUUGACUACACUAAACAUCCUUCAAAACCAGACCCAAGUGGAGAGUGUAAUCCUGACCUUAGAUUAAGAGGGCACCAGAAAGAAGGCUAUGGCUUAUCAUGGAACUCAAAUUUGAGUGGACAUCUUCUCAGUGCAUCAGAUGAUCAUACUGUGUGUUUAUGGGAUGUAAGUGCUGGACCAAAAGAAGGCAAAAUUGUUGAUGCGAAAGCAAUCUUUACUGGGCAUUCUGCAGUAGUAGAAGAUGUGGCAUGGCAUCUGCUUCAUGAAUCUCUGUUUGGAUCCGUGGCUGAUGAUCAGAAGCUUAUGAUUUGGGACACAAGAUCUAAUACUACGUCCAAGCCAAGUCAUUCUGUAGAUGCUCAUACAGCCGAGGUCAACUGUCUGUCCUUCAACCCUUACAGUGAGUUCAUUCUAGCAACUGGUUCUGCUGACAAGACGGUGGCUCUAUGGGACCUUCGAAAUUUAAAAUUGAAACUCCAUUCUUUUGAGUCUCAUAAAGAUGAAAUUUUUCAGGUUCACUGGUCUCCUCAUAACGAAACAAUUCUUGCUUCGAGUGGUACUGAUCGUCGGCUUAAUGUAUGGGAUCUGAGUAAAAUUGGAGAAGAGCAGUCUGCAGAGGAUGCAGAAGAUGGGCCUCCUGAACUGCUGUUUAUUCAUGGAGGACACACUGCCAAAAUUUCAGACUUCAGCUGGAAUCCUAAUGAGCCUUGGGUAAUCUGUUCUGUAUCGGAGGACAACAUAAUGCAGAUAUGGCAAAUGGCAGAAAACAUUUACAAUGAUGAAGAACCAGAUAUAGCAGCAGCUGAACUGGAGGGUCAAGGAACAUAACUUUUCUUCCUUAAGGAAAUACCGGGAAGGUGCUCACCUGUAUGUCACCAAGAGGACCAGCUUCCUUCCAGCAUGCCCCCUCUGGUCAUCGUCUACAGCAGAUUAUCCCUGUGCUGGUGCUGUGAGGUAAUGGCAACGAAGCCGUGGAGCACAGUUAUUUCUGCAGGUUGGUACAUGCUGGGGAGAGGAAAAAACAGCCAAUUUUCUAUCCACUGACCUUGCUGUUCAAGGGAACUGGGUACAGAAUUGUGAGACGUACCUUUUUUGUAUUAGCUGUUUGCAGAAGUGCAAGGCAGAACAAAAACUACAUAAGACCUGUGUUUCCAGAAGUUGAAUGAUAAAAUCUUCAGCCAUGCCAUCUUGUCAGACUGCUUGAGCGCUUCAGAAGAGCGGUCAGUAGCUGGCGAGCAGCACUCUUGCACACUUCCAGCACUGCGGUGUAGUGGUGGUUUAUUACUAAUAAAGCCAAAGCACAUUACUGGUGUGCAUCAAAUUUUCUCUCUCACCGUUUUCUUCUCUAAGAAUUUCAAACCCAAACCUUCCCCCAGUCCAGGCAUGCCCACACAUGCGUUACAAAUGGUGCUUGAGAGUUGUGUAACUACCCUUCCCCUUUAAAAGGCAAGGAUUCUCUGCUUUAAACAUCAAGCCUGCAUAAAAACCACAGCCUGGAGAAAAGAGGUAGAAGAGUCA